Long non-coding RNA from Pungitius pungitius (ninespine stickleback), 725 nucleotides. RefSeq lists it as uncharacterized. The transcript is spliced from 5 exons. The record is from RefSeq and is a predicted model, not a curated record. Lineage: Eukaryota; Metazoa; Chordata; Actinopteri; Perciformes; Gasterosteidae.
AUCCAGGUGAUGAUGCAACAAAGACGACCACAAGUCCACCUGUAAAAGAGGAAUCAGGGAACUCAGGUGGUAAUAAUCACAAAGUCCUGGUCUCCGUCUCUGUGGGGGCUGCAGCUCUGGUGGCGAUCACACUGGGACUCGUCGCAUGGAGGAGAACUAAAGGGAACAAAACAAAGACGGAUGACGAGGCGGCCGACCCUGAAGGAGGCGUGGCCUACGCCUCCGUCAGCUUCACCAAGAACACCGCCGGCAGAGCCCAGGCUGCCCUUCAUCCUGAUGAUGAGGAUGAAGGUGACGCAGUGACCUACACCACCCUGAAACCCCCCCGUUCCUCCGCUGCAGCUGACCCCGGCGACCUCUACGCCACCGUCAACCGACCAGCCAGAUAAGAGGUCACAUGACUGUAGCGUGGUGAAGACGUGUUGAUGUUUGCAGUGAUGCAUUGUGGGAGUUCAGGGAAGCAGACGCUUAGAGACACAUGCAUUCGUUAUACUGCGUCCCUGCAGACACACAAUGACGCUUUAGGACUUCUUGGCAUUUAUUGUGUCACCAUUUAAGUGAAUUUUGCUGUUUUAGUUGUUAAAUGUGAUUCUGUCGUGUUUUAACUGAGUAAAGUUUUCAGCUUACUGGGAUAGAAAUAAAUUUUGAGCUUAAUUCUUAUUGUUUCAGCAUUUUAAUUUCAAAUAAAGGUUGAAUGAAAAGUGGAUUGUUGGCUUUAUUAAAAU